Cydia pomonella (codling moth) is the source of this 950-nucleotide long non-coding RNA. RefSeq lists it as uncharacterized. The transcript has 2 exons. NCBI's taxonomy places the organism in Eukaryota, Metazoa, Arthropoda, Insecta, Lepidoptera, Tortricidae. The record is from RefSeq and is a predicted model, not a curated record.
UAUAUAUAUAUAUAUAUAUAUAUAUAUAUAUAUAUAUAUAUACAAGAAUUGCUCGUUUAAAGGUAUAAGAUUAUGUAGGCAUGUUUUGAUUUGAAAAACUUACUACUUAUGGUUUGUCAUACAAGGGGCUAAUUUGUUGUUUAACCUCUCGUGCUAAUAUUGAUACCCGUGCCAGCAAAAGAUUAUUAAACUGAACCACUAGUGCAGCGAAUGGUUCGAAAAAUGGAAUCUUGAGUGUUGCGAGGGUUCAAGGCACAAGGUGAAACAACUUUUUUCACCACACCAACAAAGAAAAUACUAACUGUAAAUUAUCAAACUAUAUCAAAGCAAAUCAAUUCAGAAUUCUGUUAUUUAAUAUAGGUAUUUAUCAUUCAAAUCAUCAUUAAAAAAGUCAAUUCUACCAGCCAACAUAAGGACACAACUCGAAAUUUGAAUUUGAUUUGCACCACAAGUGGAUAAAAUGCAACUUUCUCACCAGUUUUUGAACAAUAAAGAGAGCACGCUAGUAUUGUAAAAAUAACUAUUUUAAUGCAAUUAAUCUGGGGGCACGGCAGUGCCCCCGCCAAGUCGAGCGCGAAGCAAACACUGCCGUACCAUGCUUUACUGGAACCAUUUCGCCGCAUUUUCAGGCCCCUAUUUGAGAACCUCUGGAUAAAACCAAAACGCAGAAAUUUUCGUCAUCCAGUAAGCUAUAAUCACAUACUUAAAAUCCAAAAUUUCAAGUCUGGAGGUCAUUUAGUUCCGAAGUUAAGCGAAAGCAAAGUUUCGCUUUUAUGACACUCACUCACUCACUCAUGAUCAUCAAAAUAGAACUAGUGCUUCCCAUAAACUCAGAGAGCUGAAAUUUGGUACAGAGUUAGGAUUUAAUGGCCACAUAAAGGGAAAACUAUAAAAACUAGGAUAAUCGAAGAUCUGGAGUACCUGGUGACCCUGAUUAGAAACCAAAAUAA